RNAcentral lists this ribosomal RNA (253 nucleotides) under uncultured bacterium. RNAcentral describes it as "partial 16S ribosomal RNA". It matches the Rfam family "Bacterial small subunit ribosomal RNA", at positions 524 to 776 of the family's 1533-position model. The record is from RNAcentral.
UACGGAGGGAGCUAGCGUUGUUCGGAAUUACUGGGCGUAAAGCGCGCGUAGGCGGCUUUGUAAGUUAGAGGUGAAAGCCCGGGGCUCAACUCCGGAACUGCCUUUAAGACUGCAUCGCUUGAAUCCGGGAGAGGUGAGUGGAAUUCCGAGUGUAGAGGUGAAAUUCGUAGAUAUUCGGAAGAACACCAGUGGCGAAGGCGACUCACUGGCCCGAUACUGACGCUGAAGCGCGAAAGCGUGGGGAGCAAACAGG